CAUAGAAGGUGAUAGUCCUGUAAGUGAAGCAAUGUGGCUCCUUGGAAAGGUACCCCCAAGUACUACGGAGUAAGUGGAAGUCCGUAGGAAUCUGGGGAGAACCAUCUCCUAAGACUAAAUACUCUCUCGUAACCGAUAGUGAACAAGUACCGUGAGGGAAAGGUGAAAAGCACACCUACUAGGUGAGUGAAAUAGUACCUGAAACCGUAUGCCUACAAGCAGUUGGAGCUCCGCUUGCGGAGUGACAGCGUGCCUUCUGGAUAAUGAGCCUACGAGUUACUCGUCUGUUGCAAGGUUAAGAAUCUAAGAUUCGAAGCCGGAGCGAAAGCGAGUCCUAAUAGGGCGAUUAAGUAACAGGCGGUAGACGCGAAACCGAGUGAUCUAUCCUUGGCCAGGAUGAAGUGAGGGUAAAACCUCAUGGAGGUCCGAACUAGUGUGGGUUGAAAACCGCUUGGAUGAGGCUGAGGAUAGGAGUGAAAGGCC
Molecule: ribosomal RNA, 483 nt
Filed under: uncultured bacterium
Lineage: Bacteria
Description: bacterial LSU rRNA
Rfam family: Bacterial large subunit ribosomal RNA
Source: RNAcentral